CAUUAGCUCAGCGGUUAGAGCAGAGGACUCAUAAUCCUUUGGUCCUAAGUUCAAAUCUUAGA
This 62-nucleotide transfer RNA is filed under the name uncultured Treponema sp. It matches the Rfam family "tRNA", at positions 7 to 64 of the family's 71-position model. Rfam says of the family: Transfer RNA (tRNA) molecules are approximately 80 nucleotides in length. Their secondary structure includes four short double-helical elements and three loops (D, anti-codon, and T loops). The record is from RNAcentral. Lineage: Bacteria; Pseudomonadati; Spirochaetota; Spirochaetia; Treponematales; Treponemataceae.